This 524-nucleotide small RNA is filed under the name Pongo abelii (Sumatran orangutan). RNAcentral's name for it is "retained intron". Lineage: Eukaryota; Metazoa; Chordata; Mammalia; Primates; Hominidae. The record is from RNAcentral.
GCAAGCUCCAGGCUUUGGUUUUCGCUGCUGCUGGCGGCAGCGUUGGCAGGACGGGCGACGGCCCUCUGGCCCUGGCCUCAGAACAUCCAAACCUCCGACCAGCGCUACGUCCUUUACCCGAACAACUUUCAAUUCCAGUACGAUGUCAGCUCGGCCGCGCAGCCCGGCUGCUCAGUCCUCGACGAGGCCUUCCAGCGCUAUCGUGACCUGCUUUUCGGUUCCGGGUCUUGGCCCCGUCCUUACCUCACAGGAAAACGGCAUACACUGGAGAAGAAUGUGUUGGUUGUCUCUGUAGUCACACCUGGAUGUAACCAGCUUCCUACUUUGGAGUCGGUGGAGAAUUAUACCCUGACCAUAAAUGAUGACCAGUGUUUACUCCUCUCUGAGACUGUCUGGGGAGCUCUCCGAGGUAACAAAUUGGGGCUGAUUAAAAGAGAGAGAGAAAGGAUGAUGUGGGAAGGUUGGUGUUGGUGGAGUGCAGUGUCCCAGUCCCUGCUCACUGCAACCUCUGCCUCCUAGGCUCA